GAUGAACGCUGGCGGCGUGCCUAAUACAUGCAAGUCGAGCGAACAGAUGAGGAGCUUGCUCCUCUGACGUUAGCGGCGGACGGGUGAGUAACACGUGGAUAACCUACCUAUAAGACUGGGAUAACUUCGGGAAACCGGAGCUAAUACCGGAUAAUAUAUUGAACCGCAUGGUUCAAUAGUGAAAGACGGUUUUGCUGUCACUUAUAGAUGGAUCCGCGCCGCAUUAGCUAGUUGGUAAGGUAACGGCUUACCAAGGCAACGAUGCGUAGCCGACCUGAGAGGGGGACGGCCCCCACGGGAAGGGGAACAGGGACCAUACCACCAAGGGGGGCGAGAGUGGGGAAUCUCGCAAAAUGGGAGAAAGCCGGAGGGAGCAACCCGGCGUGGGGAAUGAAGGUUUUGGGUUCUAAAAACUUUUUUAUGGGGAAAAAAAAAAGGGGAAAGAAACAAUCCGCGUUUGGAGGGAACCUAAUAAAAAACCCCCGGCUAACCCGGGC
RNAcentral lists this ribosomal RNA (497 nucleotides) under uncultured bacterium. Its description in RNAcentral is "partial 16S ribosomal RNA". It matches the Rfam family "Bacterial small subunit ribosomal RNA", at positions 28 to 508 of the family's 1533-position model. The record is from RNAcentral.